GAAUAUUGGUCAAUGGGCGAGAGCCUGAACCAGCCAUGCCGCGUGCAGGAAGACGGCCUUCUGGGUUGUAAACUGCUUUUAUCAGGGAACAAAAAGCCCAUGCGUGGGAAAUUGCGUGUACCUGAAGAAUAAGCACCGGCUACCUCCGUGCACGCAGCCGCGGUAAUACGGAGGGUGCAAGCGUUGUCCGGAUUUAUUGGGUUGAAAGGGUGCGUAGGUGGUCAAUUAAGUCAGUGGUGAAAUCCUGCAGCUCAACUGUAGAACUCCCAUUGAUACUGGUUGACUUGAGUAUAGACCAGGUAGGCGGAAUUUAUGGUGUAGCGGUGAAAUGCAUAGAUACCAUAAAGAACACCGAUAGCGAAGGCAGCUUACUAGACUAUAACUGACACUGAGGCACGAAAGCGUGGGGAGCGAACAGG
RNAcentral lists this ribosomal RNA (419 nucleotides) under uncultured bacterium. Its description in RNAcentral is "bacterial SSU rRNA". It matches the Rfam family "Bacterial small subunit ribosomal RNA", at positions 359 to 776 of the family's 1533-position model. The record is from RNAcentral.